Molecule: long non-coding RNA, 1041 nt
Filed under: Sorghum bicolor (sorghum)
Lineage: Eukaryota; Viridiplantae; Streptophyta; Magnoliopsida; Poales; Poaceae
Description: long non-coding RNA (SBIC_LNC007597)
Source: RNAcentral
CAGGCAUUGCACAGGGCUCUCUCAUACACUGAUCGACAGUCAGGCCGACAGCAUCAUCAGCCUUUCCGAAAAUUAUGUAUGUAUGCAGCCCGUGAAUGUGUUUUGCUGCUCUGUAUAGAGAGAGAGAGAGAGAGAGAGAGCUUGUUUUUUAUCUCAUCGGCCGUACAUGAUUAGGACGGAGUGACGUUUUUACCUUGUUAUUAGUUUAUUUUUCUUAAACUAUGGAACCAAUGCAUUUUUAACUCAUUUUUUUGCUUCCGCUAGAUGCUAUUUGAUUAGAUAUGACAAUGGCAUGCCGUCGAAAACAGGCAUACUUUUUUUUUUUGAGUUCUCUACUGUAUCACAGUAUUUUUUUUCCAGAGACUGAACUUUUUACCGAACAGUAAUUUGCUCACUGGAUAUGGAACAAUAAAAUCAUGUAUGCAAGCCCCGCUGUGUCCAGUCCAGGCAAAGCUUGGCCGCGGUAAAAAUAAUCAUGGCGAGAUCUGGCGGCGGUGAGACCGUGCAUCUGAGCCUGAAAUCAUGAGGUCUCCUAAUUAAUCAGAAAGCCCAUGCAAGCAUGGAUACCAACCACCAUGCAUGGCUCAGGUCAGGUGACUCAGGUGAGCCUGCACUGCAUGCUAUACGUUGCAUUUGCAUCUAAAAACAAGGGCAUCUAUCACUAUCAGAUCUACUUCAUUAUUUGAAAUCUAUGAGACGCUGACACAGGGUGACAGCUAUAUAUGCAAAUGCAACAGAGGUGGUUGAGAUCGGAAACAGGCGUUCGGAGUAGUACUAACACGGAAGCUUAUUUUGAUCACUGAAUGGGAAAUGAAUAUUCGACCUCCAUCCCCUGCUCUUCUGCGAGACUGUGUGACCGUGCUGCUCGCGGUAAUAAUACGAAGCAUUGCAAGGUCUGCAAUUGUGUGGCCGUGCAUGCAUGUGCGUCUGAAAUCAUGAGGUCUCCUGAAUAGUGAAUCCUGAUCUGUGCCGCUGUCAGGGUGAGCCUGCACUGCAAACGAGGGAAUGACAUGGUCACUUGAGAUCUAGCUACCUCUACUA